Molecule: ribosomal RNA, 253 nt
Filed under: uncultured bacterium
Lineage: Bacteria
Description: partial 16S ribosomal RNA
Rfam family: Bacterial small subunit ribosomal RNA
Source: RNAcentral
UACAGAGGUCCCAAGCGUUGUUCGGAUUCACUGGGCGUAAAGGGUGCGUAGGUGGCGAGGUAAGUUUGAUGUGAAAUCUCCGGGCUUAACCCGGAAACUGCAUUGAAUACUAUCUUGCUUGAGGGUUGGAGGGGGGACUGGAAUUCUCGGUGUAGCAGUGAAAUGCGUAGAUAUCGAGAGGAACACCAGUGGCGAAGGCGAGUCCCUGGACAGUUCCUGACGCUGAGGCACGAAGGCCAGGGGAGCAAACGGG